UGCAGCGCCUGAAUCCCGUUAGCCAAUGGGUUAAAGGGACCUUGUGGCGCGCCCUUACUAAAAUUUCUAUUGGUUUUAUACCUCAGGAAGCUCCCUCGCCUGGGACCCCAAAGCAGGUGCGAGGCCUGUAACGAGGUGAAGCCUGUUAGUAUGCGCCUCUAUAGAGUCGGGUUACUUGAGAGUGUAGCCCUAAGUGGAAGGUAAACCCCUUCUAAAGCUAAAUAAGACCACGAGACCGAUAGCGAACAAGUACCGCGAGGGAAAGUUGAAAAGAACUUUGAAGAGAGAGUUCAAAAGGGCGUGAAACCGCUUAGAAGAAAACGGACGGAGCCGUCAGGAGCCUCUGGGAAUCAGUUAUGCGAUUCGCGAAAGUGCUUUAGUUUCAGAACGCAAGUCUGACUGGAGUUCUAUUAGUAGCGAUCGUGUGGCGCAUUUCUCAGAGGUAAGCACUGCGACCGAUACGAAAGGCCAGUGAAGCGAUUUGAUUGAGGUCGAGUCCCGCAAGGGACUUGUAACCAGUCUUAUCGCCUCGAGUCACUGGACCGAAGUAUGUAUCGAGUGCCUAGAAAGAAUACGCCGGCGUAAACGCUCGCUGGAGUAAUGGAUAGUUGGUUGAUCAGUUGGUUCCUGCUUGCAGGGACUAGCGAAUUUGGCUGGCUUAGAAGUUACCGGCGACUAUAAGGCGUAUUGGCUUCGGCAGUGUCAGUGUCGGCCACCCAUCCGACCCGUCUUGAAACACGGACCAAGGAGUCUAACAUAUGCGCGAGCUAAUAGGUGAAAAACCUAUAGGCGCAAUAAAAGUAAAUGCUGUUUCGGACAGCUAAGAUACGAUCCUGGACACGAUCCAGGCGCAGUAUCGUCCCGUCUUGACCGCAUGUCGGUAGGGCGGAGAUAGAGUGCAUACGUUGGGACCCGAAAGAUGGUGAACUAUGCCUGAGCAGAGCGAAGCCAGAAGGAACUCUGGUGGAGGUUCGUAGCGGUUCUGACGUGCAAAUCGAUCGUCAGAUAUGGGAUAGCGU
This 1019-nucleotide ribosomal RNA is filed under the name Discolaimus sp. 4 HMM2018. RNAcentral's name for it is "eukaryotic LSU rRNA". It matches the Rfam family "Eukaryotic large subunit ribosomal RNA", at positions 109 to 923 of the family's 3401-position model. The record is from RNAcentral. Lineage: Eukaryota; Metazoa; Nematoda; Enoplea; Dorylaimida; Qudsianematidae.